CUGAGAACUUAUGUCUUUGCAUGAUUCUUCAUAAUUAAGUAUACUCAAUUAUUCUCUAUGAUCCUUCUUUCUAUAUUUUUGCUUUUCAACUAUCUAUAUAUAUUUUUGUGUGUCCUUAUUUAAAUCCCCAUUCUUGAUUCCAGACUAACUCUCAUAUAUAUACGUAAAUGUACGAAAGCUUGGCACGUCGAAUACGGAAACCCGGAAAUCUUUUCACCGUUGUCGUUUUAUACUAUGACGCAAAAUCCAUGGACGCUCGUCUGCUGCUGAAUUCAUGUUUUAAAAGAAUGGACAAAGAUAGUCAGAUAGUUGAUACAAAGACCUUUGAUUUUUCAAACUGAUGGAUCAAAAAGUUAUUAUAAACAGAUAUAUUGAAAUGGCUUUUUCAACGAAAGUACAAUUACUUUGAGAAGUAGGAGAAGCUAAGCAACAGGACAGAAUUCAUUUGAGGCAUUGCUUUCUAGAUUAUAUAGUGGAGUCAUAGAUUGUCCUAUUGAUUUAUGUGGAUAUGAGGAGCAGUAGUCAAUGAAUAAUUUUGUGAUGAGAGCUGUACAUUGUAUUACAACAAAUGGACAGAGGAGUUGACUAUUGAUAGUGACUGAUAAUGGACUGGAGUAACCUAGGGUCCAAUGACUCCAUGCCUGACAGUCCAUGUGUACAUAAUUAGCUCCUCAGAUGUAAGUGGAAGGGAAGCUAUAUACAUUAUAUGUUUAAAUGAAAUUAACAACAGGAUUAGAUAUUGAGGAGAUCCUAUAGCUACAGUAUAUAUAAAUGUAACUGCAACUGUAUUCCAAGAGUCUGAUGGCUGAUAAUGUAUUACAGGAUUUUAUCAUUCAAGCAACAUCUUAGAAGGAUAAGUGCAAAUGUAUGAAGGAAGCCUUGGGUACAAAUAGCAAUUACAGCAAUUACAUGCAGGAGAGAACUCUUAACAUUACUAACAGACAUGUAGUCAUUAUAUGGGAGUGGUGUAUUCAAGAAAUCUAAAACACAUGGAAUUAAAUAUCGUGUAUAUUUUUUCAACCACAAGUACUCUCAGAAUAUAAUACAAUUCAAAUUCAAAUUAUUGUGCCAACAUGACAAUUACAGUCUAAAAAUGGAAAAUGCAUGUUUUAAACUGAUUUUUAUAUAAAUAUUUGAAAUAACAAGAA
Molecule: long non-coding RNA, 1148 nt
Organism: Mytilus californianus (California mussel)
Lineage: Eukaryota; Metazoa; Mollusca; Bivalvia; Mytilida; Mytilidae
Exons: 5
Source: RefSeq, a predicted model, not a curated record